This 247-nucleotide ribosomal RNA is filed under the name uncultured bacterium. RNAcentral describes it as "partial 16S ribosomal RNA". It matches the Rfam family "Bacterial small subunit ribosomal RNA", at positions 15 to 245 of the family's 1533-position model. The record is from RNAcentral.
GAUCCUGGCUCAGGAUGAACGCUGGCGGCGUGCUUAACACAUGCAAGUCGAACGAGGGGAUUUUGGAUGAGACUUCGGUGGUAUUCCGGAAUACCGAGUGGCGGACGGGUGAGUAACGCGUGGGCAACCUGCCCUGUACAGGGGGACAACAGCUGGAACGGCUGCUAAUACCGCAUAAGCGCACGGUAUCGCAUGAUACAGCGUGAAAAACUCCGGUGGUACAGGAUGGGGCCCGCGUUGGAUUAGG